This 117-nucleotide ribosomal RNA is filed under the name Danio rerio (zebrafish). The record is from RNAcentral. Lineage: Eukaryota; Metazoa; Chordata; Actinopteri; Cypriniformes; Danionidae.
AGCCACAGCUAUAUCAACCUGCAGUCCAAGACCUGCUUGGCUUCAGUGAGUAACUGCACUGAGCCUGGUCAUUACCUGGAUGGGAGACCACAUGGGGAAACUAGGUUGCUGUUGGAA